UGGGGAAUUUUGCGCAAUGGGGGAAACCCUGACGCAGCAACGCCGCGUGAGUGAUGAAGGCCUUCGGGUCGUAAAGCUCUGUCAGAGGGGAAGAAAUGCAGGGGUGCUAAUAUCAUCUUUGCUUGACGGUACCCUCAAAGGAAGCACCGGCUAACUCCGUGCCAGCAGCCGCGGUAAUACGGAGGGUGCGAGCGUUGUUCGGAAUUAUUGGGCGUAAAGCGCGUGUAGGCGGUUUGGUAAGUCUGAUGUGAAAGCCCCGGGCUCAACCUGGGAAGUGAAGUGGAAACUGUCAGAAUUGAAUACGGGAGAGGGUAGUGGAAUUCCUAGUGUAGGAGUGAAAUCCGUAGAUAGUAGGAGGAACACCGGUGGCGAAGGCGGCUACCUGGACCGAUAUUGACGCUGAGACGCGAAAGCGUGGGGAGCAAACAG
This 429-nucleotide ribosomal RNA is filed under the name uncultured bacterium. RNAcentral describes it as "bacterial SSU rRNA". It matches the Rfam family "Bacterial small subunit ribosomal RNA", at positions 355 to 775 of the family's 1533-position model. The record is from RNAcentral.